RNAcentral lists this ribosomal RNA (492 nucleotides) under uncultured bacterium. RNAcentral's name for it is "partial 16S ribosomal RNA". It matches the Rfam family "Bacterial small subunit ribosomal RNA", at positions 29 to 507 of the family's 1533-position model. The record is from RNAcentral.
AGUGAACGCUGGCGGUAGGCCUAACACAUGCAAGUCGAACGGCAGCACAGUAAGAGCUUGCUCUUACGGGUGGCGAGUGGCGGACGGGUGAGGAAUACAUCGGAAUCUACUUUUUCGUGGGGGAUAACGUAGGGAAACUUACGCUAAUACCGCAUACGACCUACGGGUGAAAGCAGGGGAUCUUCGGACCUUUCGCGAUUGAAUGAGCCGAUGUCGGAUUAGCUAGUUGGCGGGGUAAAGGCCCACCAAGGCGACGAUCCGUAGCUGGUCUGAGAGGAUGAUCAGCCACACUGGAACUGAGACACGGUCCAGACUCCUACGGGAGGCAGCAGUGGGGAAUAGUGGACAAUGGGCGCAAGCCUGAUCCAGCCAUACCGCGUGGGUGAAGAAGGCCUUCGGGUUGUAAAGCCCUUUUGUUGGGAAAGAAAAGCAGCAGGUUAAUACCCCGCUGUUCUGACGGUACCCAAAGAAUAAGCACCGGCUAACUUCGUG